MicroRNA precursor from Myotis lucifugus (little brown bat), 85 nucleotides. Lineage: Eukaryota; Metazoa; Chordata; Mammalia; Chiroptera; Vespertilionidae. The record is from Ensembl.
UGCGGUGGAUUAGGCUUUGGCUCAAGGGAAUAUUGUGGCUGGUUUGAUCUUUCAUCCAGACCACGAAAACUUUCUCCAUAUCAGC